Molecule: small nucleolar RNA, 147 nt
Organism: Rhincodon typus (whale shark)
Lineage: Eukaryota; Metazoa; Chordata; Chondrichthyes; Orectolobiformes; Rhincodontidae
Source: RefSeq, a predicted model, not a curated record
CUUCAGUGAUGAUGCUUGAUGACGAGUCUGAUGGGAUUUGACCUGUCUCAGGGUUCUUGAUCCAGUUAGCAUGUUCUGUGCUUCUGAAUUUGGAGUCCUGAGUGCUGUCCCUUCUAUUGAUGACUUUGAGGCAUUUGUCUGAGAAGG